CAGAGGGGGAUAACGUUUGGAAACGAACGCUAAUACCGCAUGAUAUUAUUGAGCUGCAUGGCUUGAUAAUCAAAGGAGCAAUCCGCUGAAAGAUGGGCUCGCGUCCGAUUAGGUAGUUGGCGGGGCAACGGCCCACCAAGCCGACGAUCGGUAGCCGGACUGAGAGGUUGAACGGCCCCAUUGGGACUGAGACACGGCCCAGACUCCUACGGGAGGCAGCAGUGAGGGAUAUUGGUCAAUGGGGGAAACCCUGAACCAGCAACGCCGCGUGAGGGAAGACGGUUUUCGGAUUGUAAACCUCUGUCCUCUGUGAAGAUGAUGACGGUAGCAGAGGAGGAAGCUCCGGCUAACUACGUGCCAGCAGCCGCGGUAAUACGUAGGGAGCAAGCGUUGUCCGGAUUUACUGGGUGUAAAGGGUGCGUAGGCGGCUUUGCAAGUCAGAAGUGAAAUCCAUGGGCUUAACCCAUGAACUGCUUUUGAAACUGCAGAGCUUGAGUGGAGUAGAGGUAGGCGGAAUUCCCGGUGUAGCGGUGAAAUGCGUAGAGAUCGGGAGGAACACCAGUGGCGAAGGCGGCCUGCUGGGCUCUAACUGACGCUGAGGCACGAAAGCGUGGGUAGCAAACAGGAUUAGAUACCCUGGUAGUCCACGCUGUAAACGAUGAUUACUAGGUGUGGGUGGACUGACCCCAUCCGUGCCGGAGU
This 702-nucleotide ribosomal RNA is filed under the name uncultured bacterium. RNAcentral describes it as "bacterial SSU rRNA". It matches the Rfam family "Bacterial small subunit ribosomal RNA", at positions 134 to 852 of the family's 1533-position model. The record is from RNAcentral.